GUCUCAUCAAAGAUAUUCGAUAAUAUUAGAAUGAUAUAGAGAAUAUUAGCAUGACUCCUGUGCAAAGUUGACACAAAUAAAUCAAGAAAUAAUUUGUCUCUAU
Zingiber officinale is the source of this 103-nucleotide small nuclear RNA. NCBI's taxonomy places the organism in Eukaryota, Viridiplantae, Streptophyta, Magnoliopsida, Zingiberales, Zingiberaceae. The record is from RefSeq and is a predicted model, not a curated record.